GAUGAAGAACGUAGCGAAAUGCGAUAAGUAAUGUGAAUUGCAGAAUUCAGUGAAUCAUCGAAUCUUUGAACGCACAUUGCGCCCCCUGGUAUUCCGGGGGGCAUGCCUGUUCGAGCGUCAUUUCACCACUCAGGCCUCGCUUGGUAUUGGGCAACGCGGUCCGCCGCGUGCCUCAAAUCGACCGGCUGGGUCUUCUGUCCCCUAAGCGUUGUGGAAACUAUUCGCUAAAGGGUGUUCGGGAGGCUACGCCGUAAAACAACCCCAUUUCUAAGGUUGACCUCGGAUCAGGUAGGGAUACCCGCUGAACUUAAGCAUAUCAAUAAGCGGAGGA
RNAcentral lists this unclassified non-coding RNA (331 nucleotides) under soil metagenome. Its description in RNAcentral is "partial contains 5.8S ribosomal RNA, internal transcribed spacer 2, and large subunit ribosomal RNA". The stretch from base 1 to 120 matches the Rfam family "5.8S ribosomal RNA", at positions 35 to 154 of the family's 154-position model. The record is from RNAcentral.